GUUUGGAGGCAGCACGAAGAAUUUUCACCUCAGAGGCGAGGCCCUACCGUCUUUGUUCCUUCCCGUUGCAAAGGUAAGUCCACAAACAGGUCGUGUGCUGCUCGUCGGGCACGAUUUCAGAACUAUGCUCUUUGAGCACUACCGUACCGCUAUCUAUGUGUUCGGACUAGAUAAAAAUUUUGGAGAAGUCCACAGAGUAUAGCGGCUGGCAUGUUUCCUAUACAAUGAGCGCAAAUAGACCUACCCUAGCAAAUAAUUGAGCUCGCGGCCUCCAGGUAUAGUGCGACCGGACUGCUUGGUUCUAGCACGUCGAUCGGCAAGAGCUCGGCGUUCUAUAAAUAAUCGUAGUAUCCGUCGUUCUGAGGGUGCACGGUCAAGCUUGUAAUGUAGCUGUGACAGUGCAUGUUAUCGGCUUUCACGCACUUUUAUCAAGCGCAAUGCACGUGCAGAAAGCGAAACUAGACUGCGAAUGCGCCGAUACGAAUGCAAUCAGCACGGUGGGAAACAUUGUUGUCCUUCAUGUGCGUUUCGAUGGGGACGAAAUGCGAAAACACCCGUGUACUUAGAUUUAGGAGCACGUUAAAGAACCCGAGGUGGUCCAAAUUAUUCCGGAGUCCCCACGGCGUGCCUCGUAAUCAGAUCAUGGUUUUGACACGUAAAACCCCAUAAUCUAAUUUUUUUAUGUGUGUGCGCUGCCAAACAAGUUGCUGCUUUCUUGCAGGGUCAUACACCACCUCGGGAAAGCGUGACAGAUCGUGUCGAUGUAUUGAAAACCUCCGCCAGCCAGACAGCCACAAGAAAAACCACAAGAACAGUGGAAACCCAGACGACACCAGAAUGCCAGUCUGUUGCCACGCAGGUGCAAAUGACCAUGAAAAUCAUGGUUUCCACAGCGACACAGACGAAGCAUCCCUCCACCACACAAAGUGCAGUGCUGAAUCAGCGUGAAGCUGCAUGCCCUGAAGCCCAAAGAGACACUGCAAUACAAGUCACCCCACUACCAUUGCUCCCAGCAGACUUCAGACCUCUCCGUGGUUCAACGCCUGUGCCAAUGGAGAUGGAUGACUCUUGUGCAGGUGAUGAAGACAAGCCAGCAGCUCAAGAAGACACCAGCUAUGUGCCAUCAUUCAGCGAGAGCUUCUUCAGGUAUCUUGUGCAUUAAAAUACAGUAGACUCACAACAAAAUAAAUCUCUCACAAUUUUUCAUAACAGUGCAUGAGUGAACCCCAGAAUGCUAAUCGUAUUAACAAAAUCUGAGAACAAACUACACAAAAGGUUUACAUAAGAACUGGACAAAUGCAAUUAUUAUAGAAAAACAUCACAAUACAAACGGACAAGCGCGAGAGCAUAUCAGCAAAGGUCAGGAACUUUACAAACAUACUAAUUCAAAAAGAACAGAAGCGAGAAAACGUUAAAUGGAAAGCAAAGAUUGCAAUUAUAAUUUAAUGACUGCCUUCCGAUAGCUUAUUGAGCGAGUAUUUCGUGCAGGGUGUGUCAACAUAUACCAAUGGUUUAAUUUUAUCAUGUACAGAAUUCCAUAAUGACGUGCCAGAGAAGACAGCAGUUCAUUUGCCAUGCUUUGUUCAAAUGGCAGGGUAGAAGCAAGUUAUUGUUGUAGAAAACCUGGAAAUGUUAGUAAUCUUGAGAUUGUUUGGACAAGCCAAGUAAAGAUAUGAAUUUUUUUUUUACUUUGGAGAUAAAAAGUGAUAGCUUCUGUUUAAACAGCGCUGUGUGUGGCUUUUUUCGUUUGUCCCUUUCCCUCACGAUGUUUUUUUUUUUUUAAACAUGAACUACCAACAUAUCCAACUCUUUACCCUUCAUAGCCCUCAUAGACGCUAUAUGAUACUCAAGCUGUGAUAGGGGGCUAGAGUGACUGCAACUUAGAGUGCCAUAUGUGUGGAAACAACUAUAGAUGCGAAAAGGCAGCAGAAUUCUCUUGAGAAGCAUGUGGCUAAACUCUGUUUCAUACACAGGAGGCGAGGCAGACAGCUUUUAGAUGGCAUGUCUUGCAACGAGCAAAAUGGUAGCAAACUAACUGGUGCCACCAUGCAUCGUACAAUUCCAAAUAGACAUAUGAGCACCCAAGUACUGACUUGUUUUUUGAUGCCAUUUGGUAUGGCCCGUAUACUUUGGGAAUGUCAACGCCCUGAAGAAGGACCAAGAGGAAGGGGGAAGAUAACAGCAGGACCCUCUGAAGCGGGGCGCCUCGAUAAGAGAUGGCAAGCCGCCCUCCUCAGCGAGGCACCCGAGGACCAGGAGUGGGCCGUCCAGCGGGCCAGGGCC
Long non-coding RNA from Dermacentor silvarum, 2283 nucleotides. RefSeq lists it as uncharacterized. The record is from RefSeq and is a predicted model, not a curated record. Lineage: Eukaryota; Metazoa; Arthropoda; Arachnida; Ixodida; Ixodidae. The transcript is spliced from 3 exons.